RNAcentral lists this ribosomal RNA (253 nucleotides) under uncultured bacterium. Its description in RNAcentral is "partial 16S ribosomal RNA". It matches the Rfam family "Bacterial small subunit ribosomal RNA", at positions 524 to 776 of the family's 1533-position model. The record is from RNAcentral.
UACGAACCGUGCAAACGUUGUUCGGAAUCACUGGGCUUAAAGGGCGCGUAGGCGGGCAAGCAAGUCGAAGGUGAAAUCCCACGGCUCAACCGUGGAAGUGCCCCCGAUACUGCUUGUCUUGAGGGAGAUAGGGGCGUGCGGAACUUCCGGUGGAGCGGUGAAAUGCGUAGAUAUCGGAAGGAACACCGGUGGCGAAAGCGGCGCGCUGGAUCUCUUCUGACGCUGAGGCGCGAAAGCGUGGGGAGCGAACAGG